This 202-nucleotide long non-coding RNA is filed under the name Elaeis guineensis (African oil palm). RNAcentral's name for it is "long non-coding RNA (EGUI_LNC046021)". Lineage: Eukaryota; Viridiplantae; Streptophyta; Magnoliopsida; Arecales; Arecaceae. The record is from RNAcentral.
UUCCCAGAGAUUGUUGCGCCCCCAGAGGAGGUCCUAAGGGAGAGCUCGGAGCAUUGGGCGGCCACAGCAGUAGUUGCGAGGAGAUUGGGCCAAUGAGUGGCACCAGAGCUAGUGGCCAAGGAAUUCUGCCUUCAGGCGGGGUUGAAGGGCGAGGUGGCGGCAUACGGGCUGGAGAAGGGCUUCCUUCUCUUCUGGUUCAAGG